ACGAGCAUGUCGAUGAAGCGG
Molecule: unclassified non-coding RNA, 21 nt
Filed under: Chlamydomonas reinhardtii
Lineage: Eukaryota; Viridiplantae; Chlorophyta; Chlorophyceae; Chlamydomonadales; Chlamydomonadaceae
Description: small RNA Cre_0296
Source: RNAcentral